ACUCUGGGAUAAGCGUUGGAAACGACGUCUAAUACUGGAUAUGAUCACUGGCCGCAUGGUCUGGUGGUGGAAAGAUUUUUUGGUUGGGGAUGGACUCGCGGCCUAUCAGCUUGUUGGUGAGGUAAUGGCUCACCAAGGCGACGACGGGUAGCCGGCCUGAGAGGGUGACCGGCCACACUGGGACUGAGACACGGCCCAGACUCCUACGGGAGGCAGCAGUGGGGAAUAUUGCACAAUGGGCGAAAGCCUGAUGCAGCAACGCCGCGUGAGGGAUGACGGCCUUCGGGUUGUAAACCUCUUUUAGUAGGGAAGAAGCGACUGAGUUUACUCUGAGUGACGGUACCUGCAGAAAAAGCACCGGCUAACUACGUGCCAGCAGCCGCGGUAAUACGUAGGGUGCAAGCGUUGUCCGGAAUUAUUGGGCGUAAAGAGCUCGUAGGCGGUUUGUCGCGUCUGCUGUGAAAUCCCGAGGCUCAACCUCGGGCUUGCAGUGGGUACGGGCAGACUAGAGUGCGGUAGGGGAGAUUGGAAUUCCUGGUGUAGCGGUGGAAUGCGCAGAUAUCAGGAGGAACACCGAUGGCGAAGGCAGAUCUCUGGGCCGUAACUGACGCUGAGGAGCGAAAGCGUGGGGAGCGAACAGGAUUAGAUACCCUGGUAGUCCACGCCGUAAACGUUGGGGCGCUAGAUGUAGGGACCUUUUCCACGGUUUCUGUGUCGUAGCUAACGCAUUAAGCGCCCCCGCCUGGGGAGUACGCCCGCAAGGCUAAAAACUCAAAAGGAAAUUGACGGGGGGCCCCGCACAAAGCGGGGGAAGCAUGCGGGAUUAAUUCCGAUUGCAACCGGGAAGGAACCUUUACCAAAGGCUUUGACAAUACACCCGGAAAACGGCCCAGAGAAUGG
This 900-nucleotide ribosomal RNA is filed under the name Curtobacterium sp. ADB_BD049. RNAcentral's name for it is "bacterial SSU rRNA". It matches the Rfam family "Bacterial small subunit ribosomal RNA", at positions 135 to 1009 of the family's 1533-position model. Lineage: Bacteria; Bacillati; Actinomycetota; Actinomycetes; Micrococcales; Microbacteriaceae. The record is from RNAcentral.